Molecule: small RNA, 75 nt
Filed under: uncultured Flavobacterium sp.
Lineage: Bacteria; Pseudomonadati; Bacteroidota; Flavobacteriia; Flavobacteriales; Flavobacteriaceae
Description: Flavo-1 RNA
Rfam family: Flavo-1 RNA
Source: RNAcentral
CUAGCCCAGAUAGGAACGGCAUCCUUUUUAUGAUUUGGAGAAUCAUAAAAAGAUAGAGUGGAUAGCUGGAAAAAG